Molecule: ribosomal RNA, 492 nt
Filed under: uncultured bacterium
Lineage: Bacteria
Description: partial 16S ribosomal RNA
Rfam family: Bacterial small subunit ribosomal RNA
Source: RNAcentral
AGUGAACGCUGGCGGUAGGCCUAACACAUGCAAGUCGAACGGCAGCACAGUAAGAGCUUGCUCUUACGGGUGGCGAGUGGCGGACGGGUGAGGAAUACAUCGGAAUCUACUUUUUCGUGGGGGAUAACGUAGGGAAACUUACGCUAAUACCGCAUACGACCUACGGGUGAAAGCAGGGGAUCUUCGGACCUUGCGCGAUUGAAUGAGCCGAUGUCGGAUUAGCUAGUUGGCGGGGUAAAGGCCCACCAAGGCGACGAUCCGUAGCUGGUCUGAGAGGAUGAUCAGCCACACUGGAACUGAGACACGGUCCAGACUCCUACGGGAGGCAGCAGUGGGGAAUAUUGGACAAUGGGCGCAAGCCUGAUCCAGCCAUACCGCGUGGGUGAAGAAGGCCUUCGGGUUGUAAAGCCCUUUUGUUGGGAAAGAAAAGCAGCAGGUUAAUACCCCGUUGUUCUGACGGUACCCAAAGAAUAAGCACCGGCUAACUUCGUG